Molecule: non-coding RNA, 183 nt
Filed under: Pelosinus fermentans
Lineage: Bacteria; Bacillati; Bacillota; Negativicutes; Selenomonadales; Sporomusaceae
Source: RNAcentral
CAAGAGAAUAUUGGGAUAGGUGCCCUUCGGGGCUUAAUAGGGAAGACCGGUGUAAUGCCGGCACGGUCCCGCCACUGUAACGGGGAGCAAUCUCGCAUAAAUGCCACUGGAGCUUAGGCUUUGGGAAGGCGUGGGAAAGCAAUGAUCCGAAGUCAGGAGAACUGCCUAUCUAACAAUCACCAC